GCCCGCGUAGCUCAGUGGGUAGAGCACACCCUUGGUAAGGGUGAGGUCACCGGUUCGAGUCCGGUCGCGGGCUCCG
This 76-nucleotide transfer RNA is filed under the name Chloroflexota bacterium. RNAcentral describes it as "tRNA-Thr". It matches the Rfam family "tRNA". From Rfam's summary of the family: Transfer RNA (tRNA) molecules are approximately 80 nucleotides in length. Their secondary structure includes four short double-helical elements and three loops (D, anti-codon, and T loops). Lineage: Bacteria; Bacillati; Chloroflexota. The record is from RNAcentral. RNAcentral also lists the same sequence under 1 other name.